Gallus gallus (chicken) is the source of this 1034-nucleotide long non-coding RNA. The record is from Ensembl. NCBI's taxonomy places the organism in Eukaryota, Metazoa, Chordata, Aves, Galliformes, Phasianidae.
GAGGAGCUGGGAGGAACUGAAGGCCCUCCAAAGAAAAGUCUGUUCAAUAAGCUAAGUGUUUCUGCUAGGUUAGGGCACUGGGUUGGCCUGUGAUAGAGGAGAAGGGUGCUGGAUGACCAUGUAAGAAAAAGCAGUUCAGCUUUAGAAAAGCCACCAAACUGCUGAAGUGCCACAGGUGAUGCCAGGGUUAGAGGGGAUGUCAAGAAGAGAGGAGAGGCAUCUCAAAAUGGCAGCCAAGGAAGAAACCAGUGAGUCCCCUUUCUCUCAAAGCAUCUGUGCUAGAGAAGAACAGUGACAGAGCACCUGAGACGCAGAGAGCCGUUUUCGUCUUCCUGCGACCUUGCUGCUUUGUGGCAGGAAAGCUCCCUGAAACAUGCAGACUUCAGUGAAACAACACCUGUGUGCAAACCGCAGUGGGGGUCGGAGCAAGGAAAGAAAGCCCCAUCUCAGCAAGCAAGAACGUCAGGUUAAAAGCAGCACCAGGCUUGGCUGUCUUUUUGAGACACCACUGCACGCUGGCUCUGUUUGAGCCGAUGCUGGUUGAAUGUGGCUGCUUGAAAAGCUUCAUCUUCAGAAAGCUGAAGGCAUUGUGCCAGAGAUCCCGCACAUCAGGCUUCAAACCCAAGCUGUCAGGAUUGGGAAAUUUACAGAGCUCAGCUGCACCGAGGGACAGCUGGGUGCAACGCCGAUCUAAUCCAGAUUAUAAAGCUCCUGGGGUUUGCUCAGAGGGAAUUUCGAUGCGUGCAGUCACAGCAUAGCACCCCUGCCGCGAUUCUUUUCUGGCAGUAUGAGCAUCCGUGGUCUUUCCCCAUCUCACGUGUGCAGAUGUGUGCUCUUUCCAUCGUUUCCUCCUUGCUUCUCAUGGGAGCUUGCAGAUUCAAGCAUGAAAUCUGUACAAACAAAUGCUUUUUACAUGUUAUACUGUGUGGCUGUGUUGUAUACACUUACGCUGUAAUUUAAUCACUUCCUUGCAGCUCCCUUCCUUGUGUGAGCAUCCUACUCUCCUGGCCAAUGCAUGUGUGCAAUAAACAUUU